RNAcentral lists this transfer RNA (71 nucleotides) under Camelus bactrianus (Bactrian camel). It matches the Rfam family "tRNA". Rfam says of the family: Transfer RNA (tRNA) molecules are approximately 80 nucleotides in length. Their secondary structure includes four short double-helical elements and three loops (D, anti-codon, and T loops). Further hydrogen bonds mediate the characteristic L-shaped molecular structure. tRNAs have two regions of fundamental functional importance: the anti-codon, which is responsible for specific mRNA codon recognition, and the 3' end, to which the tRNAs corresponding amino acid is attached (by aminoacyl-tRNA synthetases). tRNAs cope with the degeneracy of the genetic code in two manners: having more than one tRNA (with a specific anti-codon) for a particular amino acid; and 'wobble' base-pairing, i.e. permitting non-standard base-pairing at the 3rd anti-codon position. RNAcentral also lists the same sequence under 2 other names. Lineage: Eukaryota; Metazoa; Chordata; Mammalia; Artiodactyla; Camelidae. The record is from Rfam by way of RNAcentral.
GAGUGUAUAGCUCAGUGGUAGAACACAUGCUUAGUAUGCACGAGGUCCUGGGUUCAAUCCCCAGUAGCUCC